This 856-nucleotide ribosomal RNA is filed under the name uncultured bacterium. Its description in RNAcentral is "SSU rRNA". It matches the Rfam family "Bacterial small subunit ribosomal RNA", at positions 524 to 1381 of the family's 1533-position model. The record is from RNAcentral.
UACGAAGGGACCUAGCGUAGUUCGGAAUUACUGGGCUUAAAGAGUUCGUAGGUGGUUGAAAAAGUUGGUGGUGAAAUCCCAGAGCUUAACUCUGGAACUGCCAUCAAAACUUUUCAGCUAGAGUAUGAUAGAGGAAAGCAGAAUUUCUAGUGUAGAGGUGAAAUUCGUAGAUAUUAGAAAGAAUACCAAUUGCGAAGGCAGCUUUCUGGAUCAUAACUGACACUGAGGAACGAAAGCAUGGGUAGCGAAGAGGAUUAGAUACCCUCGUAGUCCAUGCCGUAAACGAUGUGUGUUAGACGUUGGAAAUUUAUUUUCAGUGUCGCAGCGAAAGCGAUAAACACACCGCCUGGGGAGUACGACCGCAAGGUUAAAACUCAAAUGAAUUGACGGGGACCCGCACAAGUAGUGGAGCAUGUGGUUUAAUUCGAAGAUACGCGCAGAACCUUACCAACACUUGACAUGUUCGUCGCGACUCUAAGAGAUUAGAGUUUUCGGUUCGGCCGGACGAAACACAGGUGCUGCAUGGCUGUCGUCAGCUCGUGUCGUGAGAUGUUGGGUUAAGUCCCGCAACGAGCGCAACCCUCACUUUUAGUUGCCAUCAUUAAGUUGGGCACUCUGAAAGAACUGCCAGUGAUAAGCUGGAGGAAGGUGGGGAUGACGUCAAGUCCUCAUGGCCCUUACGUGUUGGGCUACACACGUGCUACAAUGGUAUCUACAACAGGAAGCAAGACUGCGAAGUUAAGCAAAUCCUUAAAAGAUACCUCAGUUCGGAUUGCACUCUGCAACUCGAGUGCAUGAAGCUGGAAUUACUAGUAAUCGUGGAUCAGCGUGCCACGGUGAAUGCGUUCCCGGGUCU